This 658-nucleotide long non-coding RNA is filed under the name Fukomys damarensis (Damara mole-rat). RNAcentral describes it as "lncRNA (ENSFDAG00000028526.1)". The record is from RNAcentral. Lineage: Eukaryota; Metazoa; Chordata; Mammalia; Rodentia; Bathyergidae.
AUGCUCAUUGAUCAGGUGCAAUUGCCGGCUGGCUAUAGAAACAAGGGCUCAGCAAAAAUCAAUGAAAGCAUUCUGUGGGAAUUAAUUGGCUACAUGGAAUUUGUAAUAAAGAACAGUAUAUAUUUUAUUAUUAUUUUGUGUGAUAUCUGUUAUAGGAACACAGCUUACAACAAAUUUAUGAAUAAGUCUGUGCCCUUUUUCCCCACUGGGAGCGAGUUGUUAGACUUUUCCCAGCAUGCCACUGGCAGAUGUGGUCCUGGCCUUGGACAUGGCUUGGAAGAAGGAGAAUGUUUCAGUUUGGAGCACAGAGGGUCAUCCAUUCCUGAAGGCCUCAAGCAGACGACACAUUCGGCAAGUAUGUCUUUGUGCUGCUGGUCCCUAGUCCCAGGAUCUUGCUCAGAUGUGCACAUGGACAGUGAGGUCAUCUGGAAAGCACAGCUCAGACCUUAUGUUCUCUCCCCUCCUGGGGCUGGGCCCACAGCCUCCUGACUCCUAUGUAGCCAGAGCUACAUAGCUAGUUCAAGGCAAGCAUGAACUGUAUAGCAAGGCCCUACCUCAAUAAGUAAAUAAAUAAACAAACCAAAAGCAUGUUUUAGUUAACUUUGAACUUCAACCUUCCCUCACCCUAUCCUAGGCUUCUGACUUGAGACAGAGUGCA